This 253-nucleotide ribosomal RNA is filed under the name uncultured bacterium. RNAcentral's name for it is "partial 16S ribosomal RNA". It matches the Rfam family "Bacterial small subunit ribosomal RNA", at positions 524 to 776 of the family's 1533-position model. The record is from RNAcentral.
UACAGAGGUCUCGAGCGUUGUUCGGAUUCAUUGGGCGUAAAGGGUGCGUAGGUGGCGCGCUAAGUCGGGUGUGAAAUUUCGGAGCUUAACUCCGAAACUGCAUUCGAUACUGGCGUGCUUGAGGACUGGAGAGGAGACUGGAAUUCAUGGUGUAGCAGUGAAAUGCGUAGAGAUCAUGAGGAAGACCAGUGGCGAAGGCGGGUCUCCGGACAGUUCCUGACACUGAGACACGAAGGCCAGGGGAGCAAACGGG